This 460-nucleotide ribosomal RNA is filed under the name uncultured bacterium. RNAcentral describes it as "bacterial SSU rRNA". It matches the Rfam family "Bacterial small subunit ribosomal RNA", at positions 327 to 804 of the family's 1533-position model. The record is from RNAcentral.
CGCCUUAUACUCCUACGGGAGGCAGCAGUGGGGAAUCUUGGACAAUGGGGGAAACCCUGAUCUAGCCAUGCCGCGUGAUCGAUGAAGGCCUUAGGGUUGUAAAGAUCUUUCAGAUGGGAAGAUAAUGACGGUACCAUCAGAAGAAGCCCCGGCUAACUCCGUGCCAGCAGCCGCGGUAAUACGGAGGGGGCUAGCGUUAUUCGGAAUUACUGGGCGUAAAGCGCACGUAGGCGGACUGAAAAGUCAGAGGUGAGAUCCCAGGGCUCAACCUUGGAACUGCCUUUGAAACUCUCAGUCUUGAGGUCGAGAGAGGUGAGUGGAAUUCCGAGUGUAGAGGUGAAAUUCGUAGAUAUUCGGAGGAACACCAGUGGCGAAGGCGGCUCACUGGCUCGAUACUGACGCUGAGGUGCGAAAGCGUGGGGAGCAAACAGGAUUAGAAACCCUGGUAGUCCACGUACCA